This is a long non-coding RNA of Tympanuchus pallidicinctus (lesser prairie-chicken), 3179 nucleotides long. RefSeq lists it as uncharacterized. The record is from RefSeq and is a predicted model, not a curated record. NCBI's taxonomy places the organism in Eukaryota, Metazoa, Chordata, Aves, Galliformes, Phasianidae. The transcript is spliced from 3 exons.
CCCCCGCGCCGCCGGUGCCCGCGAGGACGCUCGGCUCAUUUAACGCGUCGUUUCUCUUUCUGCUUCAACCCCGGCGCCUUUUGCAGCGAACGCUCAGCCCUGGCGCGCGCGCGCUCGUGGGUUCACGUGUUCGUGCCCGAGUUGGGCUUUGCUGGGAGGGAAGUUGCGCGACGGUCGGACUGCCGGGUUUCGUCUUUGUCAUGGCUGCGUGCGAGCAGAUUCUUGAAGAACAACUUAGGAGCUGGACUGGAGAGGACCUGUUUUGAAGUUGCCAUCCUUACAGUAUUUUCCCUGCAGACUCGCUCAGAUCACUUCCCAGGGGGAAACGCAGCCCUCUGCAAUCUGAUUGCAAUGUAUGUGGCACACUGGACUAGCAGCAAAUCACAACUCCGUAGCUGGAUUUGAUCAGGGUACAUCACACUGACUCACAGGAGGUUUGUGAUGGGCACAAAACAUUACAGCUGACAAUGAAACUCCAAAACUUUUUUUAAGAGAAGAGGGAGGAGCCAGCACUUGAUCAAGAGACAAAACACAGCAGGUGGGGCCAAGUGUUGCUGGGCCCUGGUCUGCCUCAGCCCCCACACAGAUCCACCGCCUGCCCUGCUGGGCCUUUGUUCCUCAGCUGUAAUUUGUAAUUGCUUGAUGAUGUGCAGGUUCUGUGUAUGAGAACGGGGUUCCCGGAGAAGUAAUCAUUAUUGAUGUAACGUUGCCCUCAGUAAAAGUUCUGAGAGUCUGAGGAUAACAGGACAGAUGAAGGCACUCUUAAAAUUAAGGUCAAAUUGACACUUUCUGUACCGAAAAGUUUGCCUGUGUUGCCAUUUACACUGGCUGCUCUCAUAAAAACCUUUCUGCCUUAACGUCUUUAGACCAUCAGCGCUACAACAGUGCUACCUUUAAAGAACAUCAGUGCCACAGAAAUAAUUAAACAUGAAAACAGCAAGCACAAUACUAGUUGACAAUGUAGCCUAGGGCUUUUAGGAAUUGAAUUUAACACCUACAUUAUUGUAAAAAGACCUAAAGCUAGUAUGGAGAGGCUCCCUAAAGCGCCCCCCAUUAGCCUAACUUGAGCACUAAAGUGGGAAAUUGAACCAGAGAUAACAAAGCAGCUGGUCCUGAACGGCAGGAUUGCUCCCAACAAGUUUGUAAAGAGCAAUCUGUGCAGCUCCUCAAACACAGCACCUUCCGCCCAGCAGCUUGCUUUGGCACGCGAGGAAAGAGUUGGGCCAAUUGUGCUUUAAUUCCCAUUGCAGCUGUAGGAGGGAAAGAUGAAAGCACAAAGUUUUUCAAUCUCAGGAGCUGGCUGUUGAGCAAAGGCUUGGGUCUGUUGCCAAGUGUGCAAACCAGGCUUUUCAGAUCAGAUCUGUUUAUUGUCACUCUGUUGCAUGCUGUGUGUGCACAGAACAGUGAGCAGACACUGAUAUCACACCUUUUGUGAAAGGAGGUUUCAGAUACAAAGCAAAUCCCAUUUUCCUGAGAGGGUUAAGGAAGGACAUCCAGGCUUUUUUGCCUUGACCCGUAUGUCUCUAGGCUUCUCCAGCAAAUUCUCCUGUCACAUGCUCCCUUAUCUUGCAGGUCACAGACUUUGUCAGCCCACAGUGACAAUAAACUGACUUCCUGCAGCCAGGAAAGUUAGGGAAAACCAGACAGCUUUUGCUACCAGCCCCAAAGCAGUGAUUUUAGAGGGCUCCUUUACCAUUUCUGAGCCAAUGAGGAAGUAGCACUUGGGAGACCCUCAGGAGCAGCAUUGCUGCCCACUCCCACCAGCAGCUUGGGUGAAGAUGUACUGCCACUGAGGAGCAUCCUCCAAGGUCACACUGCUUUACCACAGACAUGGCAUCAUGAAACACUCUGGGAAAAUGGGAAGUACACCUCAAUGCAGCUGGGGUUUCUGCUGUUGCAAGUCUACCAACUUAAGCUAUGGGCUUUGCCUCCUGUAUUGAUUUACAGCUACUGCCUGGCAGAAUUCAAUAUUAAGAUCAAGCUAGAAAUUACUUUGACCUCUGCAAUCCUACAAAAACAAGAUCUACUUAGGUAUCUAAACUCAUCUUCUCAUUUCUCUCCCCCUCUUCAGCGCUUACUUUGUUACGUAAGAGAGAAGUUCCCUUUCUCUGUCAAGGUUGGGCUGCUGUGAGUGCUGAUGCAGCGCGCCCUGUAUCCCUGCAGCUCUGCAUGGGACAGGCAGGGGACAACGGGCAGCCUAUUUCCAUCCCACAGUGACAGGCAAGUGGCACACAGCUACUUUAACAAAGUCUAUUUUCACCUCCCAGGCACAUAAAGUGGGGCUGGAGACAGAAGGAUAAGUAUGUCACAACACCAUCAAGAGGGAUUUGUUUCACUCAUAGAUGCUACCUAUAUGCAGCAGUGUCCGGUAGCCCACAGAAGCAGUGAACAGGAUUGAGAUCAUGGAAUUUAGAAGUAAUCCUGUCAUGCUGGAAGGUUAAAGGCAGUUUUAAAAUGGAUUAUUUUUGUUGCUUCCAUUGAAGGUUGAUCAAUAGCAAAUUCACCUAUUAAUCCCACUUGGUUCUGUUUUGCCUCCAACACAGACAGUACAAACAGUUUAUUGAGUUUGAUGUCUGCUUCUUGUUAGGAACUUCAAGGCACACAUUCAUACUACAGAUUUCUACAGAACUACUCACGUCAAAUUAGGUUUGAAGGCUGAAAGCAGGCUGUCAUUCCAACUUUCCUGGGUGAUUCUCAUGCCUCUGAAAAGCUGAGCAUCUUUCAGAGAAGCAGAGCAUGUCUGUGGAAUUCACUGACACAAGAAUAGACCCCAUUUGUAAGCACCAUGAGUGUGUGGUUACCUUUGUGCUCUGCCCCGGCUGGAAGGAAACUCAGAAGGGCUUCUUGUUUCUGCCCCAGAGAUGUGCUCAGAGAUGAGCUCUGAAGCUGGUUCCUCACAUCUUUCCUUGCAAGUCAGCACGAGCACAAAGGAGCUCAGACCAGCCCUGCACCGCUUUCCAAAGUCAGCCUCACUGCUCUGUCAGAAACAUCAGCACUGAAACAAGACCGAGCUCUGUCCCUCCCUUAGAGGGAUGCUCAGGGCCAUGCAGCACUCAGCUCCACCGCAGCUGCUGCACAUUGAUUUCCUGCCUGCUGAGGCAGGUUUCAGAAAUUCAGGGCCAUGUUGCAUGUUACUCUGCAUAGCUCCCAGCAGUUGGCACAGGGCCUGAAGUACUGCA